Long non-coding RNA from Wasmannia auropunctata (little fire ant), 688 nucleotides. RefSeq lists it as uncharacterized. The transcript has 2 exons. Lineage: Eukaryota; Metazoa; Arthropoda; Insecta; Hymenoptera; Formicidae. The record is from RefSeq and is a predicted model, not a curated record.
UUUGCUUCCACAUAUCUUAUUAAAAUAUACUAUAUUUAAAUAUGCUACUUUGUGUGAUAAUUUCUGUAUAAGCUGCAAUGAAAUUAUAUAAGAGCGAUUAGCGCUGCUGCGUGGCAGAACCUGGCAGCGACAAUUGGCAAUCUUCCCAUUUCCUUAACAACCGUCGUGGUGUGCAUACGUGUUAGAGCCAGUGAUAGAGCGAAUGCCGAACGUGUGUAGCAAAUUGCAAGCGAGACAGUUGCAUGCGAGCAAGUAACGAAGCAAGAUAAAUCUUUGUAUACGGAUUUACUUUACUGUAUUUUUUAUUAUUUCUUUUUGUUCUACUUUUGCAAUCUGUUUUUUUUUGUUUUCGAGGAAUGCGAGUGCCUCUUGUCUACAGAAUUAAAAUCAAUUCAAACUGUAUAAAACGUUGACACACGUGUGCUUCAGUAUUUUCUAGCACGAACGCUAUGGCUGCCACGCUUGAUAAUGCAAAUGAGAGUAAAGAUCGUUCGGGUACGUUUAUUUUUAUUUAUUUAUACAUGAAUUUGUUAAUAAAAUUUGUUAAGUAAAUAAUAUCGUAUGUAAAUGUCAAAUUGAUUAACUUUGCCAAAAGAAAAAAUAAAUAAAGAAAGGUCAACAAUAAGCAAUUUAUUAAAUCCAAAACAAAAUUGUUAAUACAGGAUUAUCAAAUGAUUACUAAGUCAGC